Molecule: ribosomal RNA, 327 nt
Filed under: uncultured eukaryote
Lineage: Eukaryota
Description: partial 18S ribosomal RNA
Rfam family: Eukaryotic small subunit ribosomal RNA
Source: RNAcentral
CCCUUAGAUGUUCUGGGCCGCACGCGCGCUACACUGACGAAUGCAACGAGCUUAUAACCUUGGCCGAAAGGUCUGGGUAAUCUCCAAAUUUCGUCGUGAUGGGGAUAGAUUAUUGCAAUUAUUAAUCUUCAACGAGGAAUGCCUAGUAAGCGCAAGUCAUCAGCUUGCGUUGAUUACGUCCCUGCCCUUUGUACACACCGCCCGUCGCUCCUACCGAUUGAAUGGUCCGGUGAAAUCUUCGGAUCUGAGAGAUGUUGGAUUAAUUUCUGACGCCUUUUGGAAAAGUCGCUUAAACCUUAUCAUUUAGAGGAAGGUGAAGUCGUAACA